AUGCUGAAAGGGGGCUUUGCUUGGCACUACAAAAUGUGCGACAAACGUCCUGAAUUUGCAAAAUGGCAGAGAGAGGCGAAAAAGGCACGCCGAGGGCUUUGGUCGUUAGAUAAACCUCAAAAACCAUGGAUUUGGAGGAGAGAUAAUCCACGCAUUGACAACAAGAAGGGGAAUGCAGAUGACAUUCAGGUAGAACCGCAGAACCAGGUCAAUGAGAGCAGUAUAGCUCUACCAUUGUUGAUAAUGAAAGAUAUGGAGGAUCUGGGUAGGAAAUGGAAAGGGAGUUUGGAAAAUUUUGUGUCUGAGAACAUGAAACUACACGAUCAGGUCCAGGAGUUAAAGAGAGAUAAGAAGGAGGCUGAGGAACGUGCUAGAAAGGCAGAAAAAGAAAUGGAAAGUGCUGUGGCUGACAACAUGAAGCUGAAUGCUCAGCUCCAGGAAUCUGAAAUUAAUAAAAGGGAGGCCGAGGACCGAGUUUUACAGUUAGAUUUCUUCUCAGGAAGUGUUGCAGCUGUAAACAUGGAUUUGCACAAUAAGAUUGAGGUUUUAGAGAAUGAGAAUAAAAAGGCCAAGGACAGAGCCAAGGAGGCAGAAAGUGAAAUGGAGAGUGUUGUGGCUGAGAACAGGAAACUGAACGAUCAGCUCCAGGUAGUAGAGGGCCAAGCAGUGAAGCUGAAAUAUUUUUGUGAAAAGGUUGCAGGUGUAAACAUAGUUUUGCACCGUAAGCUGGAGGGGUCAGAGGAGAAGAAUAAAAAGGCCGAGGAGCAAGCCAAGGAGAAAGAGAAGGAGAUGAAAACUAUUCUGGAUGACAAUGCGAAACUAAGUGAUCAGAUUCAAAAAUUAAAUAAGAUAAAUAAAGAGAUUACCGCCUUUGCUAAUAAUAGUAAAAGGAAAUUGCAAAGUGUUCUAGCCGCAAACAUGGAUUUGGAUAAAAGGGGGGUGGAGCGAGCUACUUUGCCAGAUAAGGGAUUGGAAAUUGUUGGAGUUGAAAACAUGAAGGAGAAAUUACAAGGCAUAAGUCACAAGAAGAGUGAACAAACUGUGGAGACCCCAUCGGCAACUCCAACCAAAGACUCUGGGGUGAAAAAACCCACUGUGUGGCGGAUAAAAAUGACCGCAACGACAUCUUCGGCGCCUCCACCAAAGGGUCAUUAUGAAUAG
This 1161-nucleotide ribosomal RNA is filed under the name Triticum aestivum (bread wheat). Its description in RNAcentral is "partial small subunit ribosomal RNA". The record is from RNAcentral. Lineage: Eukaryota; Viridiplantae; Streptophyta; Magnoliopsida; Poales; Poaceae.